This 777-nucleotide ribosomal RNA is filed under the name uncultured Neocallimastigales. Its description in RNAcentral is "partial large subunit ribosomal RNA". It matches the Rfam family "Eukaryotic large subunit ribosomal RNA", at positions 23 to 644 of the family's 3401-position model. Lineage: Eukaryota; Fungi; Neocallimastigomycota; Neocallimastigomycetes; Neocallimastigales. The record is from RNAcentral.
AUAGAGACUCAGAGCUGCAUAUCAAUAAGCGGAGGAAAAGAAACUAACAAGGAUUCCCUUAGUAACGGCGAGUGAAGCGGGAAGAGCUCAAAUUUGAAAUCUUCAAGGUUUUACCUUGACGAAUUGUAGUUUAAAGAAGUGUUUUCUGUUGGAGUUUUGGUAAAAGUUCUUUGGAAUAGGACAUCAUAGAGGGUGAGAAUCCCGUAUUUGACCGUUACUUUCCAGCUGUGUGAUACACUUUCAAAGAGUCGGAUUGUUUGGGAAUGCAGUCCAAAAUGGGUGGUAAAUUUCAUCUAAAGCUAAAUAUUGGCGAGAGACCGAUAGCGAACAAGUACCGUGAGGGAAAGAUGAAAAGAACUUUGAAAAGAGAGUUAAACAGUACGUGAAAUUGUCAAAAGGGAAGCGUUUGACACCAGUGUUGUUUUUCCGAAAAUCAAUUACGAAUGGGUUAUUUUGAGAGUUAUGACCUUCAAUCGCUUGCUUCUCUCUUUAUGAUCUUUCUUAAUGCACUUUUCGGUUAACAAGUCAACAUCAAUUUCUUUUGUUGUAAAAGAGUAUGAGGAAGGUGGCUUUCUUUUCGGAGAAAGUGUUUAUAGCCUUUUACCUCUGCAAUCGGAGAGAUUGAGGUACAUGCAGCGUAGACUCCUUCUGGGGUUAGAUACAUUUGUGCUAAGUUAUAGCCUUUCAUAGACAACUUGUUGACUAUGAUCAGUCAUGUAGCUUACUCGCUUAUGUCAUUUUACCUACGCUUAGGAUGUUGAUAGUCACAGCGUGUAC